This 73-nucleotide small RNA is filed under the name Xanthomonas vesicatoria. Its description in RNAcentral is "sX9". Lineage: Bacteria; Pseudomonadati; Pseudomonadota; Gammaproteobacteria; Lysobacterales; Lysobacteraceae. The record is from RNAcentral.
AGGGACCACGCGUAUACCGGUUCUGAGCGCGCCGCUCGCACUCUUGAUGAUCGCUCGCUACGUCGUGUCAGCC